ACACGACUACAUUAGAUACCCCUGUAGUCCUAGCCGUAAACGAUACUCGCUAGGUGUCGGCCACGGUGCGACCGUUGUCGGUGCCGUAGGGAAGCCGUGAAGCGAGCCACCUGGGAAGUACGGCCGCAAGGCUGAAACUUAAAGGAACUGGCGGGGGAGCACAACAACGGGUGGAGCUUGCGGUUUAAUUGGAUUCAACGCCGGAAAUCUUACCGGGACCGACAGCAACAUGAAGGCCAAGCUGAAGACUUUGCCGGAUUAGCUG
Molecule: ribosomal RNA, 265 nt
Filed under: uncultured archaeon
Lineage: Archaea
Description: partial 16S ribosomal RNA
Rfam family: Archaeal small subunit ribosomal RNA
Source: RNAcentral